UGUAAGCGUAUACCAAAGUUGUUGCAGUUAAAACGCUCGUAGUCGGAAUUUGGCAGUUCCGGAUGUGUGCACGUCGUGUGCGCACUUCGCGGGGAUUGCUUUUGUGGUCUUGCGUAGGAUGAGGCACUUUUAUUAGUGAACGUCCUCACGCAACCACUUUUUACUGUGAGAAAAUCAGAGUGCUCAAAGCAGGCAUUUGCCGUGAAUGUAUUAGCAUGGAAUAAUAGAAUAGGACUUGGUUCUAUUUUGUUGGUUUGUUGGGACCGAGUAAUGAUUAAGAGGGACAGUUGGGGGCAUUUGUAUUUCGGCGCUAGAGGUGAAAUUCUUAGAUUGCCGAAAGACAAACUGCUGCGAAAGCGUCUGCCAAGGAUGUUUUCAUUGA
This 382-nucleotide ribosomal RNA is filed under the name uncultured eukaryote. RNAcentral describes it as "partial 18S ribosomal RNA". It matches the Rfam family "Eukaryotic small subunit ribosomal RNA", at positions 592 to 976 of the family's 1831-position model. The record is from RNAcentral.